RNAcentral lists this ribosomal RNA (605 nucleotides) under Lestremia cinerea. Its description in RNAcentral is "partial 28S ribosomal RNA". It matches the Rfam family "Eukaryotic large subunit ribosomal RNA", at positions 402 to 830 of the family's 3401-position model. The record is from RNAcentral. Lineage: Eukaryota; Metazoa; Arthropoda; Insecta; Diptera; Cecidomyiidae.
AAACCGCUUAGGGGUUAAGCCCGAUGAACCCGAAUAUCUGAUGUGAAAAAUUCAAUACUGUGUACAUUUAUUUUCGAAUAGGUGUAUAUUGUAUGCACUUUUUUCAUAGUAAGACAUUGUAAUCCAUUAAUGCUAUAUCUCUUCCAAGAGAUGAUUUAACAAAAGGACAUGGUGUAAAGUUUAUUCUAUCAGUGGUAUUCACGUAUCAUAUGAGUAAAUGCAUUUUGUACCUGUUAAAAUAGUUGAUGGAUUUGAUCUGAAUCAUGCUUGCAAUUUAUUUGCAUUUCGUAUUGUUAGUCUAUAUGAUUGGCAAUAGCAGAAAUGGCAUGUAUUUGAUUAACAAUGCGAUAGAUUUGGGAUACCCUCGGGACCCGUCUUGAAACACGGACCAAGGAGUUCAACAUAUGUGCAAGUCAUUGAGUAUUUUGUUGAAACCUAAUGGCGUAAUUAAAAUAACUAUAUUUUAACUUGGGAUUACAAGUAAUGUUCAAUUAUGCAUUGCUUCUCAAUCCCGGGGCGUUCUAUAUGAACAUGAUGUAAGCAAUUAUGUCCUCUGUUCGAGAGCGUACCUUGAGCACAUAUGCUGUGACCCGAAAGGGGGGAAA